RNAcentral lists this microRNA precursor (84 nucleotides) under Solanum tuberosum (potato). RNAcentral describes it as "MIR8024 microRNA precursor family". It matches the Rfam family "MIR8024 microRNA precursor family". Lineage: Eukaryota; Viridiplantae; Streptophyta; Magnoliopsida; Solanales; Solanaceae. The record is from Rfam by way of RNAcentral.
CUGAAGAAUUUGAAGACCUGAACUUGAUCUUCAAGGAUUUGAAGACUUCAACUUGCAGGCUUAAAGAAUUUGAAGACUUCAACU